RNAcentral lists this small nuclear RNA (177 nucleotides) under Ophiophagus hannah (king cobra). RNAcentral's name for it is "7SK RNA". It matches the Rfam family "7SK RNA", at positions 1 to 184 of the family's 331-position model. From Rfam's summary of the family: 7SK was discovered as an abundant small nuclear RNA in the mid-70s but a possible function has only recently been suggested. The record is from Rfam by way of RNAcentral. Lineage: Eukaryota; Metazoa; Chordata; Lepidosauria; Squamata; Elapidae.
GGUAAUCUGGCUGUAAUAUCAAUUAGUCCAAUGAUCACCAAGGUUGAUUCAGCUGAUCUGAUUAAUUACUGAGUAUCCACUUCCUUUGUUUUGACACCAUGUGCAUCCCUUCUAACAUAGCAUAUUUGGAGAAAAGAGGACAGUACCACAGAUAAAAGGAAUGAUUCUAUAUAAAUC